RNAcentral lists this long non-coding RNA (531 nucleotides) under Ursus maritimus (polar bear). Its description in RNAcentral is "lncRNA (ENSUMAG00000007827.1)". Lineage: Eukaryota; Metazoa; Chordata; Mammalia; Carnivora; Ursidae. The record is from RNAcentral.
CCAGGGGAGUCCAUCCAGAGCCCCCCAGCAUGGCCUCUGGGAAAGGACGAGGAGUACCCGCGAUUCCCUUAGCCCGUGGCUUUACACAUCCCCAUCCUAGGACAGGAUCUUUAUUUGAUACAUUGGCCUGGAAGACAAACUACUGGACAGCGUUGCUGUGAAGCUCAAGUACAAACAUGGAGAUUUUUGGCACAAUUAUAUGAACAAGACGAGUCGUGCUUCUUACAUUUGAAUUAUACGUUAUUCAUCUGGAUACACUAAACUUCUUACCAUUAGAAAUCAACUUUUCUUUCAAGACUUUGUCUUUGCUGCACACACGGGCAGAAUGGAGUGAUAUUUUAAGAUUUCCUGCAACUAGAAAGAGAUCUGGUAUUUUUCUUCUAAUUCAAAUCAACUCAACAAACAUUGAAUGUCUGAAUGUGCCAGAUACAAAAGAUGGAGAAGAUCUACUGUUAAGAAGCCCACAGUCUAGUGCGGACAUGUGAUGCAGGGGCAAUUAACACAACGGUCCAGGGGUGUAAAUGGUUUUAU